RNAcentral lists this ribosomal RNA (201 nucleotides) under uncultured bacterium. RNAcentral describes it as "partial 16S ribosomal RNA". It matches the Rfam family "Bacterial small subunit ribosomal RNA", at positions 1300 to 1500 of the family's 1533-position model. The record is from RNAcentral.
GUAGGCUGCAACCCGCCUGCAUGAAGUUGGAAUUGCUAGUAAUCGCGGAUCAGCAUGCCGCGGUGAAUACGUUCCCGGGGAUUGUACACACCGCCCGUCACACCAUGAGAGUCGGGAACACCCAAAGUCCGUAGUCUAACCGCAAGGAGGACGCGGCCUAAGGUGGGUUCGAUAAUUGGGGUGAAGUCGUAACAAGGUACC